This 1355-nucleotide ribosomal RNA is filed under the name Corcyra cephalonica (rice moth). RNAcentral describes it as "16S ribosomal RNA". Lineage: Eukaryota; Metazoa; Arthropoda; Insecta; Lepidoptera; Pyralidae. The record is from RNAcentral.
AGAUGAAAAAUUAAUAAAUAAAAAUUAAUAGAAAAAUUUUUAAAUAAUAUUUAAUGGGGGUUAAAGUAUUUAUAAAGAAAAAAUUAUUAAUUUUAUAGUUCUAUUAGUAUUGUGUGAGAAAUUUGAAAUAAGUGAAAAUUUAAGUUAAUUUAAAGUAAAUUUAAUUUAUUGUAUCUUGUGUAUCACAGUUUAUUAAAUAAAUUUUAUAUUAAUAAAAAUCUCGAAUUUAAAAGAGGUUAAAUAAUUAAUAAAGUUAUUGUAGCAAAAAUAUUUUUAAUAAUUAUUUUGAAAUGAAAUGUUAUUCGUUUUUAAAGAUAUCUAGUUUUUUUAGAAAAAAAUUUAAUUUUUUAUUUACAAAAAAAAAUAAUUAAUUGAAAAAUUAUUUUUAUAGUACAUAUAAUAUUUUAAGGGAUAAGCUUUAAUUUAAAUUAUUAUAAUUAAAAAUAGUUUAUUUAAAAUUUUUAAAAUUUAUAUUGUUUAAAAAUUAUAAUUUUUUAUAAAUAAUUUUAAAAAAAUGAAAAUUUAAUAUAAUUUAAUUUUUUAUAAAAAUUUUUGUAAUAAUAAUAUUUAUAAAUUAAUAAUGAUAAAAUUAGUAUAUUUAAUAAAAAAUAAAAUUGAGUAAUUAUUAUAUAAUUAAAAGGAAUUCGGCAAAAUUUUAUAUUCCCUUGUUUAUCCAAAACCUGUCUUUUUGAGAAUAAUUUAAAGUCUAAUCUGCCCCCCGAUAAAAUAUUAAAGGGCUGCAGUAUUUUGACUGUACAAAGGUAGCAUAAUCCUUAGUCUCUUAAUUGGUGACUGGUAUGAAAGAUUGGAUGAAAUAUAAACUGUCUCUCACUUAUUAAGUAAAAUUUAAUUUUUUAGUUAAAAAGCUAAAAUAAAUUUAAAAGACGAGAAGACCCUAUAGAGUUUUAUAAAUUAAAAAAUUUAAAUUAUAUGUUAAUAUAAUAAUUAUAAAUUUUUUAAUUUAUUUUGUUGGGGUGAUAGAAAAAUAAAAAUAACUUUUUUUAUAUAUUUAACAUAAAUAAAUGGUUGAUUGAUCCUAAAUUUUAGAUUAAAAGAAAAAAUUACCUUAGGGAUAACACGCGUAAUUUUUUUUUUAUAGUUCAAAUAAGAAAAAAAGUUUGCGACCUCGAUGUUGGAUUAAGAUAAAAAUUAAAUGCAAAAGUUUAAAUUUUUGAUCUGUUCGAUCAUUAAAAUCUUACAUGAUCUGAGUUCAAACCGGUGUGAGCCAGGUUGGUUUCUAUCUUUAAAAAAUUAUAAUAUUUUAGUACGAAAGGAUCAAAUAUUAAAAUUAAAUUUAGUUUUUUGAAUAUUAUUAAAUAAAAUUAAUUUUUAAAUUUGUUAUAAAUAGGAGUUAA